Oxyura jamaicensis (ruddy duck) is the source of this 1240-nucleotide long non-coding RNA. RefSeq lists it as uncharacterized. The transcript is spliced from 4 exons. NCBI's taxonomy places the organism in Eukaryota, Metazoa, Chordata, Aves, Anseriformes, Anatidae. The record is from RefSeq and is a predicted model, not a curated record.
UCUGUACAUAGUUACCAGUGUGCACACACGCGAUCAACAUGCUGUAUCAUCCCAAUAGCAUCCGAGAACACGGCGGCUGCUAUGUGCGAGCCAAGGCUACAAGAUUAUAUACAGACUUGCUGAAAGAACAGACUCCCUUAACGACUCUCCAAACACCUACCUAGAACUAACUGGCUUGUCAGCACAACCUUCCACUUCUAAGCAAACAGCUGGGAUUGGCCUCUCAACUUUUGCUUCAACCAGGUUUACUGGAUGACCAGUGUGGGGUAAAGAAAUAAUUGUGCUGGGCAAAGCUAACUAAAGAAUUGAACAAAAAAAACAGACCACAAGCUAAACUCCACCUGCUGGAGACAAGCAAUUCAAAUCUGCAAACCACUAAGCCCCUUGCAGUGCUGGAUGGUUAACAAAGCUUUUCUUCAGUCCAUGUCCGGCGACCAGAGGGAGCUAUUCUCAAGUGCCUAGUCUAGCAUAGCAGAGCACUUUGCAGUGAUUACUCUCAAGUGUGAUAUUGCACACAAGACUGUACUGGCUCCUAUGAUGGCCACACAACUGAGCUGGAAUCAGAACAAUUCUGGUAUUUUGCUUAUUACUUCCAUUUUCAAAAAGGUCUUUCUAUGAAAUUUUCGGUACUAUGUAAAUUCCCCUUAUUUCAAUAUUAUUAUCUGGUCAAAGAUAUUUGCUGCAAAGUAACUGCAUUUGAAAUAUCCUAAGUGGUACGACACGCAUCUUCACUAACAUCAUGUAGCAUUUAUGACUACAGCUUAUUUAUACACUAGAACAUGGUUGCAAAAAGUUGGAAUGACGCCAUGGUUUCAUCCUCUCACAAUUAUUGUGAAGGUCCUUUCCUUAUGGUUUAAUUGUUGAGGAUCACGUUCAGAACUUUAAAACAUUUAACUACUGGCUUAAGAGUAACUUCAUUUUUGUCUGCUCAUCCUAGCAAGUUGGCCAUGUAAAAGAAAAAUGUUCUGAAGAUGUCUGAAAACCUUUGCAAGUUCGUUUAGACUCUUCCACCACUGAAAAAAAAAAAAAACACACUCCAACUCUAACUUUAGCAUGAUUAGCACGUGCUAUCUUCAUUGAAGGGCUUUGAAGUAUAGAUUGCAACGAUCCAUCAGCAAUUACUUCUGAUCCUUGACAAAAAAAAAAAAGUACUUACAAAUGACCAAGAAUACGAUAUGAAUUCAGAGGUGGAAAUACAAUAAACGUAGUUGGAAUUUAAACUAAAAAAUACUUCCAAUAA